Patella vulgata (common limpet) is the source of this 515-nucleotide long non-coding RNA. RefSeq lists it as uncharacterized. The transcript has 2 exons. The record is from RefSeq and is a predicted model, not a curated record. NCBI's taxonomy places the organism in Eukaryota, Metazoa, Mollusca, Gastropoda, Patellidae.
GUGGAUAAGAAGGUCGUGUCAUUUACGAUACACCAGAUUGGCAAGGAAAACGAAAGCUGUCAUAAUAAUGGAUUCGAAUCCCUGUUAUCAGCAUGGAUCAUGGUUCUGAUAAGAUGGGGUAUUGUUUGUAUUUACUGAAGACUGUUUAGAGUUAGGUUAAUUUAUGACAUGUAAGUGAAGAUAACCAGUUACAUGUAGUAGAGCAUUAAAUGUAAACAGGAAGUUGAUUUAUUAUGUUUAUAUGCAACAGACACUUCAUCUAAUAAUCUUUAAUGGAGCAAAUUUAUUCAAAGAAUCUGCAUGUUAUUAAUGACUUUCAAGAGUCGUAGUGGCUAUGGAAUAUCGUAAGACGUGUUUUGUUUUUAAAAUUGUGCUUCUCACAAGCUCACAGGCUUCAACACUGUCGCAUUCGGGAUAAUAUUUAUGAUUUUAAAACACAACUAAUGACACAUAGGCGGUUCGUUUUUAGCGUGCAGGUACUCCUCAUAACGACACAUCCGAGGUCGUAACUUUUU